RNAcentral lists this transfer RNA (71 nucleotides) under Patescibacteria group bacterium. RNAcentral describes it as "tRNA-Cys". It matches the Rfam family "tRNA". Rfam says of the family: Transfer RNA (tRNA) molecules are approximately 80 nucleotides in length. Their secondary structure includes four short double-helical elements and three loops (D, anti-codon, and T loops). RNAcentral also lists the same sequence under 1 other name. The record is from RNAcentral.
GACACGGUGGCCGAGCGGUUAGGCAAUGGUCUGCAAAACCAUGUAGGCGGGUUCAACUCCCGCUCGUGUCU